CAGGUGCUGCAUGGCUGUCGUCAGCUCGUGUCGUGAGAUGUUGGGUUAAGUCCCGUAACGAGCGCAACCCCUAUCCUUAUUUGCCAGCGGAUUAUGCCGGGAACUCUAAGGAGACUGCCGGUGACAAACCGGAGGAAGGUGGGGACGAGGUCAAGUCAUCAUAGCCUUUAUUGUGGUGGGCUACAAACGUGCUACAAUGGGCGGUACAAAGGGCUGCGAUCCCGCGAGGGCGAGCCAAUCCCUAAAACCGCUCGUAGUCCGGAUAGGAGUCUGCAACUCGACUCCUUGAAGUCGGAAUCGCUAGUAAUCGCGAAUCAGAACGUCGCGGUGAAUACGUUCCCGGGCCUUGUACACACCGCCCGUCAAGUCAUGGGAGUGGGUUGCACCAGAAGUAGCUAGUCUAACCUUCGGGAGGACGGUUACCACGGUGUGAUUCAUGACUGGGACUAAGUCGUAACAAGGUAGCCGUAGGGGAACCUGCGGCUGGAUCACCUCCUUA
Molecule: ribosomal RNA, 499 nt
Filed under: Gemmatimonadota bacterium
Lineage: Bacteria; Pseudomonadati; Gemmatimonadota
Description: bacterial SSU rRNA
Rfam family: Bacterial small subunit ribosomal RNA
Source: RNAcentral